CCUGAGAAACCCAAAAGAUCGAAUGGGGAGAUUCAUCGUCAGCGAUCCUGGUACGUGUGCGGUUCGUGAUGCCCGAGACUUCGGUCUCGCGGCACGCGUCCGCAUGGUUUUUAUUGCCGGGUGUCGUCGGCGUGCACUUCUCCCCUAGUAGGACGUCGCGACCCGUUGGGUGUCGGUCUACGGCCCGGGUGGGCGCCUGUCAUGUUUAACGCUUUACCGCGUCAUGUGGCAGACCCCCGGUUGUCUGGCCGGCUGCUCGGCGGUACUCGCAAGGUAUCGGGCCGCAAAUAUUCGAACUGCGUCCGGCCCGCCGCAAGCGAGGUCAGUGUUUCCCGGUAGUACGGACCAAGCGCCGUCACCGGGCCUGACCAGCUGUUGGUCGGCGGUGUCCUCGGACUGGCUCUGCAAAAUUAUGAUACCGGUCGGCGACGCUACUGCUUUGGGUACUUUCAGGA
Molecule: ribosomal RNA, 455 nt
Filed under: Cycasis rubiginosa
Lineage: Eukaryota; Metazoa; Arthropoda; Insecta; Hymenoptera; Ichneumonidae
Description: partial 28S ribosomal RNA
Source: RNAcentral